ACAAAAAAUCAUACCCGCGUUUACUUCCCGUGUCUACCGUAUCUCUCAAUUUUCCCAAAAUUAAUCCCAAACUUUCAUAGAUUCAAAACAUACAAUAAUUAUCCCCAAAAAUUAACCUCAAAAUCUCAGUAAGGCUGCUUCUUCUUCUCUAACGCCUGAGAGUAGAGGCCAGAAAUGGAGUCAUGAUCACGGAGAGAGGCAGAGAGCCGCCGAAGAGCAGAGCUUUUCCUCCUCCUCUUCUUCUUCUCCCCUGCCGAGCCUGCCGCCGCGCCAACCUCUUCAUAUUUGUCGUUGCAACAUCUUUUCCGGUCACCAUCGCUAUGAGCCCGUCGCCGCUUCUUUUAAGGAAGGAGGGAAGGAAAAACGAGUUUGAAAGGCACAAGCUGCAAGAAUUAAAUCAGCGCCAAAAACUGGUGAAGGUUCCUAGUUGUUAGAUGAUAGUUUUUAUAUAAUUUUUAACUUGGACUUUUUUGUUUACACUAGAGAUAAAUAUAUUAAGAUUGAAGAUUUUGUGAUGGUGAUGGUGGCUUUAUGUGCAUUUAUUUUUUCACCUUUUAUAUGCAACACCUGUACUUAAAAAUAAUAGCCUUUUACUUGAAUGAAAGAUAUGGGGAAGCUUGAAUUUAUUGCAUCACUACGAAGGUUUUACUAUGCCUGAGUUGGCCUGUUAUACUUUUUUAAAUGCAUUUUAAUGCAGCAAGCAACUAACUCUAUGUAGCUGGUGGAAGUUCUGAUUCAACUAUGCAUGAGAUGUGAGUAUAAAUAUUAGAAUUGAGUUGCUAUUGUCUAGUUAGAAAUUCAUAGACAGGGAGGCAUAAAUGAACUUUGGCUUUGAGUUGUUUUGAAAAUUAUUGCAGCUGUGAAAAUUUAUCUGGUUUACUGUUAAGUAUAAGAUACAAGCUACAUCUUCAAAAUUUGUUUCUGGUGAGUCUGUCUCUUAUAGUUCUUAUAAUUUUCUUCAGAUAUGCCUCAAAUGUGAAUUUAACUGGCUUGUGUCGUACGUCUCAAUUAAAAGUUGUAGAUUUUUCAUAUAACUUCUUUGUUGGAGCUUACCGAAAUGUUUGCAUGUUCCAAGAGGCAAGAGUGGCAUUCAGUUCUACAGUAGAUGGAAGUUUAGCUGAGGAAGCCAAGUCCAUCAAUACUAAUUUUCUUCUUCUAUGUGGCUCAAGAAAUCCAAAAAACAAGAACUAGUGAUGAUGUAACAAUCAUCAUAUCAUGAAUUUCCAUUGUCAAGAUCAGACAUGACAAAUGUUUAUUUUGUUCCUUAUAGGAAUGAAAGUUCCAAGGGAAUUAGCAAGUAUUGCUUUGAGCAUGCACACGAAGGCUGCAUUGUGGUCUCGGUUGGAAAAUUCGCCAAAGCAGAGCAAGGUUCCAGUUGAGAAUCCCCUUUGUUUUAAUUUUAUAAGAAAGGUACAAAUUAAAGAAGAGUUUCGGUCAUGGAUUAUAUGGUGAAGUAUGGUUAGCUUUUCAUUGGAAUUGUAAUGAAGGGAUUAAUGCUGCAGAAAUGAGCAACAAUGACAAUAAUAGAAAUAACAGCUCAAACACCAAUGAUUGCGAGGAUGCUUCCACUAACUAUACUUUGUACAUUUUGAAGCGUUAACGAUUUAGAAGCGUUAAUGAAAACUCGCAGGCGACAUUUCUGUCUUAAACAACAGUAGUACCUGUUCAGGAUGGUUUAGAAGUCUUAAUAAAAGUUCUAAAUUCCUCAUUUCAUUUC
Molecule: non-coding RNA, 1717 nt
Organism: Arachis ipaensis
Lineage: Eukaryota; Viridiplantae; Streptophyta; Magnoliopsida; Fabales; Fabaceae
Source: RefSeq, a predicted model, not a curated record